AAGGUGGUGUGUCACACCAACACUUUUUCCGUCAACUUUUUCCAUCGUUUUUCUGAAAAUCGUGGAUAUCUUGGCUGCGGCCUGUUGCACACAAAUGGUGUUUCAUCUGAAACUUUCCGUUGGCACAGCCCAAGGAGUGCAAACAAACAUGGAGUCCACACUGCAGCAAAGAUACGCUACUCUGAAACUAAUACUGUUUACUGUGAGACACAGUAUUGGAGGGCACAGGUGACAGUGUUGUGAGCCGCUCUUUUCAGGCCUUUCUUCAUACAAGAUUCAUCCUUGUGGUCCCAGAGGCACUUAUGGCUCCUUAUGCUUUCCACAAGGAUCUCCUCUGAACGGCGUGUCCAACUUGGAUGUGGUUUUCCUUCCAUGACGAAGCGUAGAGGUGGUAAUAACGUUCUGUGAGACAGGUUGAAGCCACACAGAAAGUCUUGGUCUUGGUCUUGGAAAUAUAAACAAAGGCGGAAAUUUGCAGGAGGAAACAAUCCUGAUCGUCUGACAAAUUCAUGCGAUAAGUUCAUGUGGAACGAUGAAAAAUUGACGGAAAAAGUGCUAGUAUGACACCACCUUAAAUCCACCCCUGGAUUUGUGAGUUAAUUUUUUUUUCUUUUUUUUUCUUACUUGAGGGGCAUUGGCUUUGGGAGGGGAAAAAAAAAAAAAGACCCACUUAGGUGCCAUUCCCUUAAGACCAAAAGGAUCAUCCAAAAUUGGAGGCAAACCUGUGUGGGCUCCCAGACAGGUGAGUGCCGUGUGCUGAGAGAGGCAUGGCAGAAAGUGGUGCUGAGGUCCCCAGAUAACUUAGUGAACUCCUACACUGAGGGACUGGAGAAGGUCUUGAAUGACUCCUCCAGAAUCAAGGAACUGCCAGUCCAGUACAUCACAGGAGGCAUUGCUAUUGGGCUGCAAAAAAAAUUCACCUUUAGGAAGUUAUUUGACCGCAGCCUUCAGAAGAUGCAGGAGUCAAGCCUGAUGAACAAGCUGAGGUCCAAUUGGCUAUCAGCAGGAACUUCAAUGUGUGGCAGGAAGACUAAAUUCACAGCCAGCCUCUCUGAUGUGGCUGCAAUCUUCAUCCUCUUGAUG
Long non-coding RNA from Scylla paramamosain (green mud crab), 1083 nucleotides. RefSeq lists it as uncharacterized. The record is from RefSeq and is a predicted model, not a curated record. NCBI's taxonomy places the organism in Eukaryota, Metazoa, Arthropoda, Malacostraca, Decapoda, Portunidae. The transcript has 4 exons.